This 457-nucleotide ribosomal RNA is filed under the name uncultured bacterium. RNAcentral's name for it is "bacterial SSU rRNA". It matches the Rfam family "Bacterial small subunit ribosomal RNA", at positions 340 to 789 of the family's 1533-position model. The record is from RNAcentral.
UACGGAAGGCAGCAGUGGGGAAUAUUGCACAAUGGGCGCAAGCCUGAUGCAGCCAUGCCGCGUGUAUGAAAAAGGCCUUCGGGUUGUAAAGUACUUUCAGUCGUGAGGAAGGUGUUAAGGUUAAUAACCUUAGCAAUUGACGUUAGCGACAGAAGAAGCACCGGCUAACUCCGUGCCAGCAGCCGCGGUAAUACGGAGGGUGCGAGCGUUAAUCGGAAUUACUGGGCGUAAAGGGCACGCAGGCGGUUAAUUAAGUUGGAUGUGAAAUCCCCGGGCUUAACCUGGGAAUGGCAUUCAAGACUGGUUAGCUAGAGUCUUGUAGAGGGGGUUAGAAUUCCAUGUGUAGCGGUGAAAUGCGUAGAGAUGUGGAGGAAUACCGGUGGCGAAGGCGGCCCCUGGACAAAGACUGACGCUCAUGUGCGAAAGCGUGGGGAGCAAACGAGGGAUUAGAUACCCG